This 29-nucleotide non-coding RNA is filed under the name Rattus norvegicus (Norway rat). Lineage: Eukaryota; Metazoa; Chordata; Mammalia; Rodentia; Muridae. The record is from RNAcentral.
UCUCUAGAGAGUUUGUGUGUGGAGUUAAC